This 450-nucleotide ribosomal RNA is filed under the name uncultured bacterium. RNAcentral's name for it is "partial 16S ribosomal RNA". It matches the Rfam family "Bacterial small subunit ribosomal RNA", at positions 354 to 796 of the family's 1533-position model. The record is from RNAcentral.
GUGGGGAAUUUUGGACAAUGGGCGCAAGCCUGAUCCAGCAAUGCCGCGUGCAGGAAGAAGGCCUUCGGGUUGUAAACUGCUUUUGUACGGAACGAAACGGCUCUGGUUAAUACCCGGGGCUAAUGACGGUACCGUAAGAAUAAGCACCGGCUAACUACGUGCCAGCAGCCGCGGUAAUACGUAGGGUGCAAGCGUUAAUCGGAAUUACUGGGCGUAAAGCGUGCGCAGGCGGUUUUGUAAGACAGGGGUGAAAUCCCCGGGCUCAACCUGGGAAUGGCGCUUGUGACUGCAAAGCUGGAGUGCGGCAGAGGGGGAUGGAAUUCCGCGUGUAGCAGUGAAAUGCGUAGAUAUGCGGAGGAACACCGAUGGCGAAGGCAAUCCCCUGGGCCUGCACUGACGCUCAUGCACGAAAGCGUGGGGAGCAAACAGGAUUAGAAACCCCUGUAGUCC